AUUGAACGCUGGCGGCAUGCCUUACACAUGCAAGUCAACGGGCAGCACGGGUGCUUGCACCUGGUGGCGAGUGGCGAACGGGUGAGUAAUAUAUCGGAACGUACCUUAUCGUGGGGGAUAGCGCAGCGAAAGCUGCGCUAAUACCGCAUACGCCCUGAGGGGGAAAGCGGGGGACCGUAAGGCCUCGCGCGAUUAGAGCGGCCGAUAUCUGAUUAGCUUGUUGGUGGGGUAAAAGCCCACCAAGGCGACGAUCAGUAGCUGGUCUGAGAGGACGAUCAGCCACACUGGGACUGAGACACGGCCCAGACUCCUACGGGAGGCAGCAGUGGGGAAUUUUGGACAAUGGGGGCAACCCUGAUCCAGCAAUGCCGCGUGAGUGAAGAAGGCCUUCGGGUUGUAAAGCUCUUUUGUCAGGGAAGAAACAGCAGCUCUAACACAGUCUGCGAAUGACGGUACCUGAAGAAUAAGCACCGGCUAACUACGUG
RNAcentral lists this ribosomal RNA (485 nucleotides) under uncultured bacterium. RNAcentral's name for it is "bacterial SSU rRNA". It matches the Rfam family "Bacterial small subunit ribosomal RNA", at positions 30 to 507 of the family's 1533-position model. The record is from RNAcentral.